UCACGCUUGUUAAAGUCACGUGCUCGUGACUGAAUUCACAGCGUUCACGGAGUCUCUCGUCUUAAACAACAAAUAAUGUUUUAGCGACAUAAAUGAAUUUCAUCGGAUCACAACCCUUCCUUUACACUCCAAAAUUCAUGUCCAAACUGGAUCUGUUCUCUGAUGAUCUGCUAAAAGUGUUUACCAAAAAGGGUGGAGUGUUUAGAAAAAAGAUUCAACAUGUGAUGCUGCCAAUGUCUCAGACCAAGCAAGAGUGCAUUCUCAAGGGGCUAUGCAUCUACCUGAAUGAAGAUGAAUAUGAUGGAGUAUUUGGAUGAUGACCCUGCAAGAACCGAAGCGGACAUAAAGAAGACCUUUUAGGGAUUCUGUGAUGUAAAGCAUGAAUUUGCUGAUGCAACAGAAGACCCCGAAGAUAUCUGCAUUGUGCUGGAAGAUGUGGAGGUGCUUUCUGGUUUAGGUAAUGUAGCAUUGGCUACAGCCAUGCUACUUGGACUAAUAUACUCUUUAAAUCUUACUCAUCCACAGGAGAUCCACUACACUUUUAAGGUGCUCCAAAAAAUGAUUCUCGAGCUGAACUUGUGUAAAUUGUCUGCCAAAGCACAGGCGCAGAAAACAAAGCUCUUCACUUAGGUGUGCUGUGUUUGAGGAUCCCUUUGUGAAUGCUGUUUUAUUUCUUUGUAUGCUCAUGUGAUUUUGUUGUAUCUGAAUUUUUGCACGAUGAGCAGAGGUGAUUACGUCUCUCAAUCACAUUUAAUAUCAUGUUUAAGAAAACAAAAUAAAAUAACAUUUUGUUAUAUUCUUA
Carassius gibelio (silver crucian carp) is the source of this 802-nucleotide long non-coding RNA. RefSeq lists it as uncharacterized. NCBI's taxonomy places the organism in Eukaryota, Metazoa, Chordata, Actinopteri, Cypriniformes, Cyprinidae. The record is from RefSeq and is a predicted model, not a curated record. The transcript has 4 exons.